RNAcentral lists this long non-coding RNA (251 nucleotides) under Ictidomys tridecemlineatus (thirteen-lined ground squirrel). RNAcentral describes it as "lncRNA (ENSSTOG00000031405.1)". Lineage: Eukaryota; Metazoa; Chordata; Mammalia; Rodentia; Sciuridae. The record is from RNAcentral.
CCACUCCAUGAUGCCUCUUCAGCGACUCCAUCCCAAAGAUGCUGCUGUGCUGCCCAAGACCACAGAAGCUGGGAAGUUGGGCAGUCUCCAUCCCAGUCGCCUCAUCAGUGCCCACCGCUUGCCGCCUGCCUUUCCUCCCCCAGGACCACCCACCAGUCCUUCUGGGCCCUUGAGCAGGAGUUGUGCUAACUCAGGGAACUCAUCCAAGGAAAACAACUGACCAUCAGGAAGAAGGAAACACCAGAGAAGCU